Molecule: long non-coding RNA, 724 nt
Organism: Polistes dominula (European paper wasp)
Lineage: Eukaryota; Metazoa; Arthropoda; Insecta; Hymenoptera; Vespidae
Source: RefSeq, a predicted model, not a curated record
UUGUUUUUCUAAUUUGUGAUAACUAGGAUGCAUUCCUUCUGCAAAUCUUCUGAUAGAAUAUAACUGCAUAUGAUUUCUUCCCAAUUGACAUCCAUGAACAGACAAUGUCUAUGUUCAGGAGAGAUCUUGGAAUCGAUKUAAUGCAAGACUCUUUUUGAUGUGUGUAUUACAGUUGCACACAUGCGUAGUGUUCGGAAAGUCAUAUAAACUGCAUUGAAUAAAGGAAUUCUGACAGAUGACAACGUGUCAGUCUGAAGGUGAAUCUCGAAGAGGACACUACUCCGAUCUUAUAAUUCAAGCUUUUAGACAUCAAUAAUUAUUCUCAUCGAUUAAUUAACAAUAAUUUAUGCAUUUUAAUACACUUAUUAUACAAUACAGGACAAUUUAACCCUCGAAGUCAUCACUGUGUAGGAGCGAUAAAAUAAUUACAUUAGAAUAAAAAUAAUGUUAAAAUUAGAACGAUAUAAGCUUAAAUUCUCUUCAUUAGAAAUAUUAUAAUCAUUCCACACAUGCUCAACAUUCGGAAAGUUAUCUAAACAACAUUCAAUAAACGAAUUUGCAUAGAGGACAACGUGCCAGUCAGAAGGACAAGUUAACCCUGGAAGUCAGCACUGCGUAAGAGCGAUAAAAUAACAACAUUAGAAUGAAAAAAAUGGUAAAAUUAGAACGAUAUAAGCUUAAAUUCUCUUUAUUAGAAAUAUUAUAACCGUUGCACACAUGUGCA